AUGGGCGCAAGCCUGAUCCCUCCAUGCCGCGUGUGUGAUGAAGGCCUUAGGGUCGUAAAGCACUUUCGCCAGAGAUGAUAAUGACAGUAUCUGGUAAAGAAACCCCGGCUAACUCCGUGCCAGCAGCCGCGGUAAUACGGAGGGGGUUAGCGUUGUUCGGAAUUACUGGGCGUAAAGCGCACGUAGGCGGAUUAGUCAGUCAGAGGUGAAAUCCCAGGGCUCAACCCUGGAACUGCCUUUGAUACUGCUAGUCUUGAGUUCGAGAGAGGUGAGUGGAAUUCCGAGUGUAGAGGUGAAAUUCGUAGAUAUUCGGAGGAACACCAGUGGCGAAGGCGGCUCACUGG
RNAcentral lists this ribosomal RNA (344 nucleotides) under uncultured Alphaproteobacteria bacterium. RNAcentral's name for it is "bacterial SSU rRNA". It matches the Rfam family "Bacterial small subunit ribosomal RNA", at positions 371 to 732 of the family's 1533-position model. The record is from RNAcentral. Lineage: Bacteria; Pseudomonadati; Pseudomonadota; Alphaproteobacteria.